RNAcentral lists this long non-coding RNA (2049 nucleotides) under Arabidopsis lyrata. Its description in RNAcentral is "long non-coding RNA (ALYR_LNC002298)". The record is from RNAcentral. Lineage: Eukaryota; Viridiplantae; Streptophyta; Magnoliopsida; Brassicales; Brassicaceae.
GAAUUGGCAUCGACACUGUUCCCGGAGAGGAACUGCUUGUUUCCGGCGUCGUAGUAGCUGUCGCCAAACACGAAGAGCGUUUGAGCGAGUGAGGCGGUGGGAUAGUGGAGUAGAGCUAGCGUAGUGAGUAGUAAACAUGAGAUAGAGAAGAGACGCCAAUUCAGAUCCGCCAUUGGAGAGAGCGAAGAGUGGACGCGUCUGAGAGAAGGGACCUGAGGAGUGAGGGUUAGAAUUCUCGGGGAAAAAGAGUAAAGGGACAAGUAUUUUUCGGUCGGUAGUUACAAAAUUGAUUAUUUGAUUAUUUAUCUUGUUACAAAUGAGAAAGGGAUCAAAACAUUCAAUUAAUUUCUGCUUACUUCCAUUAUAGUUUUUUUUUUUUUUUUUUUUUGACAUUUUUUUAUCGACAAGGUCCGAUCCAUAGUUAAUCUCUACUACGCCGGGUAACACGACUUAGUGGAGUCGAACUCCGGUGAAAAGACAGAGUCAAAUAAAUUUAACCACUUGACUAAAUAUACAUCCCCCAGUUAUAGUUCUAGAAAGUAUACAUAAACAUUUAUUUCUUUAAAUUUUGCUCUCUAUACUUUAGUCAUUUUAUUCUCCAUUCAUGCUUCAAACCCGGUCACAGAAAAAUCAUUUCUACGUUACUUAAUUCCAUCUCUUAAACACUUUUUCUUUUGCUCCUUUUGUCUUUAUAAUCAUCAGACACCAUAGACACUUUCUUUUCGAUCUGGUGUGAACUAAACACUCUUAUUCACCUAUUUUUCCAACAUUUUUUUUUACCUUUUUCAUGACUCAUGACUUCUUAGUCUUUCUCUCUAUUAUCUUUUAUUUAUGAUUUACAUAUUGGAGCGUCGAGAAACACUUCCAUCGUUAUUUCUCAAAAAACUGAUAUAAAUACUAUAAUUGCAUGGUUAAAUCGUAAAUACUAUAAUUGAAUCGUUAACACACCAAAUUUUAAAAUUUUCAAAAGUCUUAAACCCCAUGCCCAAUCGUUUGAAUUAAAAAUUCAAGUAAUUAACAAUUGUAAUAAUUUUUGGAAACAUAAAUAUUAACUACCAUAUAUACUCACAUGUAACAAAGUGAAUAAUUUCGUAACCACGAAGUUUUUUAUAUUCUCGAGAACAAGUUUGUGGAAGUUGUAGAAUUGUUAGAUAUCUCUAUUUAAGUAUACAAUGACUAAUUAUGUAUAAAAUUAAACUCUUCUCCGUUCUUUUAUAAGUGAUGUGUUAGGAAAAUGCACAUAUAUUAAAAAAUUAUUUAAUUUUUGUUUAUUUAUAAACUAAAACAUCAUUUAUUAUCUAAUAAACCAAAAAAUAAUCUACAUAAUAAAAAUCGUUAAAACCAAUAAAAAGUAAUUAAUUUUGCUUUGAAAAUUAAAAACAUCAUUUAUUUAAGAACAAAAUUAAAAGCUUAAAACAUCACUUAUAAAAUAACGGAGAGAGUAUAAAGGUUUAAGUUGAAACACUGAUGAUAGAACCUUCAUCCAAAAAACCGGUUAAUUAAAGAAAAAAAAAAGCAGAAUAGAAUUGAAAAAUCCUGAGUUCCAAUCUUCUUAUGCUAGAGGCUUCUAUGGAAAUGGCCACCACACCAUAAAUCUACGAUAAGAUUUUUCCUCAAAAUUGUAGCCACGUGUUUUUUAGCCACGUGUUUUUUAGGAAACAAACCAAUAAUCACAUGGGACCCAUGGGCUUUUAUUCACAAACUUAUUAGUACAAGGACCAUUUUUUUGUGUGGAAGGACCUGUGGAGUUAGGGUUAGAAUUCUCGGAAAAAGAGUAAAAUGGCAAGUUUUUUUAGUGGAGUAGAGCUAGCGUAGGCGGUGGGAUAGUGGAGUAGAGCUAGCGUAGUGAGUAGUAAACAUGAGCUAGAGAAGAGACGCCAAUUCGGAUCCGCCAUUGGAGAGAGCGAAGAGUGGACGCGUCUGAGAGAAGGGACCUGAGGAGUGAGGGUUAGAAUUCUCGGGGAAAAAGAGUAAAGGGACAAGUUUUUUUUCGGUCGGUAGUUACAAAAUUGAUUAUUUGAUUAUUUAUCUUGUUACAAAUGAGAAAGG